AGGAGCCAGUAGCCAAGAAGCCACUUGAGGAAAGGUGUUGUCUGAUGUUUGGUGCCACGGCGAGAUGCGCCGCUGCGUGAUGGAGACCACUGCCAGAAAGGCCCCAUCCCCCUGCGGGCAUCCUUUCUGCGAGGGACACGCUUUUGUUUCUUACCAUGGUUUCCCAAAGGAGUGGGAAGGCACAGGAGCGGGAUGACCUCUUUCUCCUCCCAUUUAGCUGUGUGACAUUUUCCAGUGGGAAGCGGACAAGCAUCCCAAUGCUCUGGUUUAACUGUCCUUACCAUGACUUCAGGAGGGAUCUAAUCAGAGCUAUGAUCAUCACACAGCAUUGGACUAUCUCCUUUCAGAGCCUCCCGAGGGCUUCCCAACUUCUCCCGCAGCGCCUGUCCAUCUCCGCAUCUCCUCCCGCUGCUGAGGUCUGCAGCAUGAUGCUGUCACUGUGAUGAGCCAGAGCGUGGGCUGUAGCUUCAGAUCUGUGAUGGCCUUCCCAGCUAGGCAAUGGACCUACCUCGCCGUUUGCUGCUGCCAUCCAUCACUGCGGCGAUGAAAAGCAGCCCCGCGCUGGCCGGCGGCAGCCGAUGUCUUGGCUGGGCCCAUGUGCUCCUCUGGCACUGGGAACUCAUUUCAAAGGCCAAGGAGGAAAGGCGGCCCCAGGAGCUGUGUAAAACGAACCAAACCCCAUCAAUGUGCGAUUUCUCCUGCCAGGCACCGAGCGUCGGCGGUAACGCCUAACAAAGCAUCACGAAUUUGAAACCAAGCUCACCUCCCCUUCUCAGUGCCAUAAAUCACUUUCCUUCUGUGCAUUCAUCUGCAGGCCAUACCACUUCUUGCCAAGGCUUUUGCACUGGAAGAACUAAAAUGCAGUGGAGAAGCCUCAAAAAGAGGCAAGAGCCUUAUUUUCUUGUGUCUGUCUCAUUUUCUCACCUCUGUGGCACCAUCUGUUGUCAGAGGUCCAUCAUUUUAAAGCCGUGUUGAAGUA
Molecule: long non-coding RNA, 979 nt
Organism: Cygnus atratus (black swan)
Lineage: Eukaryota; Metazoa; Chordata; Aves; Anseriformes; Anatidae
Exons: 4
Source: RefSeq, a predicted model, not a curated record